GACGAACGCUGGCGGCGUGCCUAAUACAUGCAAGUCGAACGAAGCCUUUUUAACUGGUGCUUGCACCGACUUAAACAACUGAGUGGCGAACGGGUGAGUAACACGUGGGUAACCUGCCCCAAAGCGGGGGAUAACAUUUGGAAACAGAUGCUAAUACCGCAUAACCACAGAAACCACAUGGUUUCUGUGUCAAAGAUGGUUUCGGCUAUCACUUUGGGAUGGACCCGCGGCGUAUUAGCUAGUUGGUAAGGUAAUGGCUUACCAAGGCAAUGAUACGUAGCCGAACUGAGAGGUUGAUCGGCCACAUUGGGACUGAGACACGGCCCAAACUCCUACGGGAGGCAGCAGUAGGGAAUCUUCCACAAUGGACGAAAGUCUGAUGGAGCAACGCCGCGUGAGUGAAGAAGGUUUUCGGAUCGUAAAACUCUGUUGUCAGAGAAGAACGUGUGCGAGAGUAACUGUUCGUGCAGUGACGGUAUCUGGCCGGAAAGCCACGGCUAACUACGUGCCAGCCGCCGCCGUAA
This 524-nucleotide ribosomal RNA is filed under the name uncultured bacterium. RNAcentral's name for it is "partial 16S ribosomal RNA". It matches the Rfam family "Bacterial small subunit ribosomal RNA", at positions 28 to 523 of the family's 1533-position model. The record is from RNAcentral.